This 366-nucleotide transfer-messenger RNA is filed under the name Coriobacteriia bacterium. It matches the Rfam family "transfer-messenger RNA". Rfam says of the family: Bacterial tmRNA, also known as 10Sa RNA or SsrA, is named for its dual tRNA and mRNA-like properties. Its role is to liberate the mRNA from a stalled ribosome. To accomplish this part of the tmRNA is used as a reading frame that ends in a translation stop signal. Lineage: Bacteria; Bacillati; Actinomycetota; Coriobacteriia. The record is from RNAcentral.
GGGGGUGACUGGUUUCGACAGGGUGGGCCUGAGAUGGGCAGCAGGCCGUGGUCUCCUCGCCACGUUAAACAGGGGAACCGUCAAAUUGAAUUGACGACACUUAUUCUUACGAGCCUCUGGCUCUCGCUGCUUAAUUAACUAGCGGCGCGUCAAUGCGGGGAUCGCUCCCGUUCCCGCGGCGACGUCAUUUUAGGGAGAUGCUUGCUUGGACGUAGCUGGUAUGCCAAGCAAAAAGACUGAACCAACUGGGUCGCCAAGCGCGGGUUGACGGGUGCGCGGCGGCUAAGACUUAACCGGCAACUGAGCCUGGAGACACCUUUCAGGGGCUUGCUUUGGACCGGAGUUCGAUUCUCCGCACCUCCACCA